This 383-nucleotide ribosomal RNA is filed under the name Hypolimnas bolina (common eggfly). RNAcentral's name for it is "SSU rRNA". It matches the Rfam family "Eukaryotic small subunit ribosomal RNA", at positions 47 to 402 of the family's 1831-position model. The record is from RNAcentral. Lineage: Eukaryota; Metazoa; Arthropoda; Insecta; Lepidoptera; Nymphalidae.
CAUCCAGAUAGCCAUGCAUGUCUCAGUGCAAGCCGUAUUAAGGCGAUACCGCGAAUGGCUCAAUAUAUCAGUUUUGGUUCCUUAGAUCUUACUCAGUUACUUGGAUAACUGUGGUAAUUCUAGAGCUAAUACAUGCAAUAAGAACUCUGACCAGUGAUGGGAUGAGUGCUUUUAUUAGAUCAAAACCAAUCGACGGAGGGCGCCUCGUCCGAAGUCGUUAAUUUUGAUGAAUCUGGAUAACUUUUGCCGAUCGCAUGGUCCAGUACCGGCGACGCAUCUUUCAAAUGUCUGCCUUAUCAACUUUCGAUGGUAGUUUCUGCGACUACCAUGGUUGUCACGGGUAACGGGGAAUCAGGGUUCGAUUCCGGAGAGGAGCCUGAGAA